AACGAACGCUGGCGGCAGGCCUAACACAUGCAAGUCGAACGCCGUAGCAAUACGGAGUGGCAGACGGGUGAGUAACACGUGGGAACAUACCCUUCGGUUCGGAAUAACUCAGGGAAACUUGAGCUAAUACCGGAUACGUCCGCGAGGAGAAAGAUUCAUCGCCGGAGGAUUGGCCCGCGUCUGAUUAGCUUGUUGGUGAGGUAACGGCUCACCAAGGCGACGAUCAGUAGCUGGUCUGAGAGGAUGAUCAGCCACAUUGGGACUGAGACACGGCCCAAACUCCUACGGGAGGCAGCAGUGGGGAAUAUUGGACAAUGGGCGCAAGCCUGAUCCAGCCAUGCCGCGUGAGUGAUGAAGGCCCUAGGGUUGUAAAGCUCUUUUACCCGGGAAGAUAAUGACUGUACCGGGAGAAUAAGCCCCGGCUAACUUCGUGCCAGCCGCCGCCGUAAG
Molecule: ribosomal RNA, 450 nt
Filed under: uncultured bacterium
Lineage: Bacteria
Description: bacterial SSU rRNA
Rfam family: Bacterial small subunit ribosomal RNA
Source: RNAcentral